ACAAAGAGAGUAGCGCACUGGUGAGUAACACGUGGGAACGUACCUUGAAGUGGGGAAUAGCGUCUGGAAACGGACGAUAAUACCGCAUAAUCCCUGAGGGGGAAAGAUUUAUCGCUUUAAGAACGGCCCGCGGAAGAUUAGGUAGUUGGUGGGGUAAAGGCCUACCCAAGCCUACGAUCUAUAGCUGGUCUGAGAGGACGAUCAGCCACAUUGGAACUGAGACACGGUCCAAACUCCUACGGAAGGCAGCAG
Molecule: ribosomal RNA, 252 nt
Filed under: uncultured bacterium
Lineage: Bacteria
Description: partial 16S ribosomal RNA
Rfam family: Bacterial small subunit ribosomal RNA
Source: RNAcentral